GAUGAACGCUGGCGGCGUGCUUAACACAUGCAAGUCGAACGGUGAAGCCCAGCUUGCUGGGUGGAUCAGUGGCGAACGGGUGAGUAACACGUGAGCAACCUGCCCCUGACUCUGGGAUAAGCGCUGGAAACGGUGUCUAAUACUGGAUAUGUGAUGUGACCGCAUGGUCUGCGUCUGGAAAGAUUUUUCGGUUGGGGAUGGGCUCGCGGCCUAUCAGCUUGUUGGUGAGGUAAUGGCUCACCAAGGCGUCGACGGGUAGCCGGCCUGAGAGGGUGACCGGCCACACUGGGACUGAGACACGGCCCAGACUCCUACGGGAGGCAGCAGUGGGGAAUAUUGGACAAUGGGCGGAAGCCUGAUCCAGCAACGCCGCGUGAGGGAUGACGGCCUUCGGGUUGUAAACCUCUUUCAUCAUUGACGAAGCUCCAUGUUGAUUGGGGUGACGGUAGGUGGGGAAGAAGCACCGGCCAACUACGUGCCAGCCGCCGCAGUAACAC
Molecule: ribosomal RNA, 497 nt
Filed under: uncultured bacterium
Lineage: Bacteria
Description: bacterial SSU rRNA
Rfam family: Bacterial small subunit ribosomal RNA
Source: RNAcentral